GUGGGGAAUUGUUCACAAUGGGCGCAAGCCUGAUGACGCAACGCCGCGUGGAGGAUGAAGGUCUUCGGAUUGUAAACUCCUGUUGCCCGGGACGAAAAGCUUCGACCUAACACGUCGAAGUCUGACGGUACCGGGUGAGGAAGCCCCGGCUAACUCUGUGCCAGCAGCCGCGGUAAUACGGAGGGGGCUAGCGUUGUUCGGAAUUACUGGGCGUAAAGCGCGCGUAGGCGGCUUUGUAAGUUAGAGGUGAAAGCCCGGAGCUCAACUCCGGAACUGCCUUUAAGACUGCAUCGCUAGAAUUGUGGAGAGGUAAGUGGAAUUCCGAGUGUAGAGGUGAAAUUCGUAGAUAUUCGGAAGAACACCAGUGGCGAAGGCGACUUACUGGACACAUAUUGACGCUGAGGUGCGAAAGCGUGGGGAGCAAA
RNAcentral lists this ribosomal RNA (425 nucleotides) under uncultured bacterium. RNAcentral's name for it is "bacterial SSU rRNA". It matches the Rfam family "Bacterial small subunit ribosomal RNA", at positions 354 to 772 of the family's 1533-position model. The record is from RNAcentral.